ACACACAGUGUUUUUUGUUAUUACAAGAACUUUUGCUUUGGUCUGGACUAGAAAUAGUUUGGGCCAGAGGUUUACUGAACUAAACUUCAAUAUUUAUAUUGAAUUGUUAUUUAUUUAAUUGUCAAUUUGUUGAUUAAAUUCAAAAAAUCUUCAAAACUUUCAACAACGGAUCUCUUGGUUCUCGCAUCGAUGAAGAACGCAGCGAAAUGCGAUAAGUAAUAUGAAUUGCAGAUUUUCGUGAAUCAUCGAAUCUUUGAACGCACAUUGCGCCCUCUGGUAUUCCAGAGGGCAUGCCUGUUUGAGCGUCAUUUCUCUCUCAAACCUUCGGGUUUGGUAUUGAGUGAUACUCUUAGUCGAACUAGGCGUUUGCUUGAAAUGUAUUGGCAUGAGUGGUACUGGAUAGUGCUAUAUGACUUUCAAUGUAUUAGGUUUAUCCAACUCGUUGAAUAGUUUAAUGGUAUAUUUCUCGGUAUUCUAGGCUCGGCCUUACAAUAUAACAAACAAGUUUGACCUCAAAUCAGGUAGGAUUACCCGCUGAACUUAAGCAUAUCAAUAAGCGGAGGAAAAGAAACCAACAGGGAUUGCCUUAGUAACGGCGAGUGAAGCGGCAAAAGCUCAAAUUUGAAAUCUGGCACCUUCGGUGUCCGAGUUGU
Molecule: ribosomal RNA, 653 nt
Filed under: Debaryomyces sp. R126
Lineage: Eukaryota; Fungi; Ascomycota; Pichiomycetes; Serinales; Debaryomycetaceae
Description: eukaryotic LSU rRNA
Rfam family: 5.8S ribosomal RNA (bases 155-308)
Source: RNAcentral